UCAAAUGAAUUGACGGGGAGCACCACAACGGGUGGAGCUUGCGGUUUAAUUGGAUUCAACGCCGGAAAUCUUACCGGGACCGACAGCAAUAUGAAGGCCAGGCUGAAGACUUUGCCGGAUUAGCUGAGAGGUGGUGCAUGGCCGUCGUCAGUUCGUACUGUGAAGCAUCCUGUUAAGUCAGGCAACGAGCGAGACCCACGCCCACAGUUGCCAGCGUACUCUCUGGAGUGACGGGUACACUGUGGGACCGCCGCUGCUAAAGCGGAGGAAGGAAUGGGCAACGGUAGGUCAGUAUGCCCCGAAUAUCCCGGGCUACACGCGAGCUACAAUGGUUGGUACAAUGGGUAUCUACCCGAAAGGGACGGGAAUCUCCUAAACCAAUCUUAGUUCGGAUUGAGGGCUGCAACUCGCCCUCAUGAAGCUGGAAUCCGUAGUAAUCGCGUUUCAACAGAACGCGGUGAAUACGUCCCUGCUCCUU
RNAcentral lists this ribosomal RNA (478 nucleotides) under uncultured Methanosaeta sp. RNAcentral describes it as "bacterial SSU rRNA". It matches the Rfam family "Archaeal small subunit ribosomal RNA", at positions 856 to 1338 of the family's 1478-position model. Lineage: Archaea; Methanobacteriati; Methanobacteriota; Methanomicrobia; Methanotrichales; Methanotrichaceae. The record is from RNAcentral.